CACGUAGGCGGAUAUUUAAGUCAGAGGUGAAAGCCCGGGGCUCAACCCCGGAACUGCCUUUGAAGCUAGAUGGCUUGAAUCUUGGAGAGGCGAGUGGAAUUCCGAGUGUAGAGGUGAAAUUCGUAGAUAUUCGGAAGAACACCAGUGGCGAAGGCGACUCGCUGGACAAGUAUUGACGCUGAGGUGCGAAAGCGUGGGGAGCAAACA
Molecule: ribosomal RNA, 207 nt
Filed under: uncultured bacterium
Lineage: Bacteria
Description: partial 16S ribosomal RNA
Rfam family: Bacterial small subunit ribosomal RNA
Source: RNAcentral